RNAcentral lists this ribosomal RNA (1460 nucleotides) under uncultured bacterium. RNAcentral describes it as "bacterial SSU rRNA". It matches the Rfam family "Bacterial small subunit ribosomal RNA". The record is from RNAcentral.
AGAGUUUGAUCCUGGCUCAGGAUGAACGCUGGCGGCGUGCCUAAUACAUGCAAGUCGAACGGGGGUCCAGCAAGGAUCCUAAUGGCGAACGGGUGAGUAACACGUUGGAAACCUGCCCUGGAGUGAGGGAUACCAGGCCGAAAGGAAUACUAAUACCACAUGAGUAGUCAAGAGAUUAGAAGCUUGACUGAAAGGAGAAAUCCGCUCUGGGAGGGGCCUGCGACCCAUCAGCUAGUUGGUAAGGUAACGGCCUACCAAGGCGAUGACGGGUAGGGGACCUAAGAGGGUGGCCCCCCACAAUGGAACUGAAACACGGUCCAUACACCUACGGGUGGCAGCAGUAGGGAAUAUUGCAUAAUGGGCGAAAGCCUGAUGCAGCAACGCCGCGUGUGCGAUGAAGGCCUUCGGGUUGUAAAGCACUUUUGAUCGGGAAGAGGAAGGACGGUACCGGUCGAAUAAGCCUCGGCUAACUACGUGCCAGCAGCCGCGGUAAAACGUAGGAGGCGAGCGUUAUCCGGAUUUACUGGGUGUAAAGCGCGUGCAGGCGGUUGGCGAAGUUGGGUGUGAAAGCUCCUGGCUCAACUGGGAGAGGUCGCUCAAAACUGGCCGACUAGAGAGCAGUAAGGGAAGGUGGAAUUCCGGGUGUAGUGGUGAAAUGCGUAGAUAUCCGGAGGAACACCAGUGGCGAAGGCGGCCUUCUGGACUGCAUCUGACGCUCAGACGCGAAAGAAAGGGUAGCAAACGGGAUUAGAGACCCCGGUAGUCCUAGCCGUAAACGAUGUGAACUUGGCGCUGGGUGGGUAAAACAGUUCAGUGCCGGAGCAAACGCGAUAAGUUCACCACCUGAGGACUACGGCCGCAAGGUUAAAACUCAAAGGAAUUGACGGGGGCCCGCACAAGCAGCGGAACGUGUGGUUUAAUUCGAUGCUACACGAAGAACCUUACCAGGGCUUGACAUGCACGUGGUAGCGAAGCGAAAACGGAGUCGGAUCCUCGGGGAGCGUGCAACAGGUGCUGCAUGGCUGUCGUCAGCUCGUGUCGUGAGUUGUUCGGUUAAGUCCGCUAACGAGCGCAACCCUCGCCGCGUGUUACAAGUGUCACGCGGGACUGCCAGUCUUAAGCUGGAGGAAGGUGGGGAUGACGUCAAGUCAGCAUGGCCUUUAUGUCCUGGGCUACACACACGCUACAAUGGCCGGUACAAUGGGUCGCGAAGUCGCGAGGCGAAGCAAUUCCACAAAGCCGGUCUCAGUUCAGAUUGCAGGCUGCAACCCGCCUGCAUGAAGACGGAGUUGCUAGUAACCGCAGUCAGCUAUACUGCGGUGAAUACGUUCCCGGGCCUUGUACACACCGCCCGUCACGUCAUGGGAGCUUUUUACACCUGAAGCCGGUAUCCUAACCGUAAGGAGGGAGCCGUCGAGGGUGGGGCUGGUUUUUUGGGACGAAGUCGUAACAAGGUAGCC